AUAGAACGCUGGCGGCAGGCCUAACACAUGCAAGUCGAGCGGAUGAAGGGAGCUUGCUCCUGGAUUCAGCGGCGGACGGGUGAGUAAUGCCUAGGAAUCUGCCUGGUAGUGGGGGAUAACGUCCGGAAACGGGCGCUAAUACCGCAUACGUCCUGAGGGAGAAAGUGGGGGAUCUUCGGACCUCACGCUAUCAGAUGAGCCUAGGUCGGAUUAGCUAGUUGGUGGGGUAAAGGCCUACCAAGGCGACGAUCCGUAACUGGUCUGAGAGGAUGAUCAGUCACACUGGAACUGAGACACGGUCCAGACUCCUACGGGAGGCAGCAGUGGGGAACAUUGGACAAUGGGCGAAAGCCUGAUCCAGCCAUGCCGCGUGUGUGAAGAAGGUCUUCGGAUUGUAAAGCACUUUAAGUUGGGAGGAAGGGCAGUAAGUUAAUACCUUGCUGUUUUGACGUUACCAACAGAAUAAGCACCGGCUAACUUCGU
This 483-nucleotide ribosomal RNA is filed under the name uncultured bacterium. RNAcentral's name for it is "partial 16S ribosomal RNA". It matches the Rfam family "Bacterial small subunit ribosomal RNA", at positions 31 to 506 of the family's 1533-position model. The record is from RNAcentral.